Molecule: non-coding RNA, 27 nt
Filed under: Bombyx mori (domestic silkworm)
Lineage: Eukaryota; Metazoa; Arthropoda; Insecta; Lepidoptera; Bombycidae
Source: RNAcentral
UAAGUAUUCUUGUAGAACCUCGGCUGC